UUAGUGGCGGACGGGUGAGUAACACGUGGGAACGUGCCUUUUGGUUCGGAAUAGCUCCUGGAAACGGGUGGUAAUGCCGAAUGUGCCCUUCGGGGGAAAGAUUUAUCGCCAUUAGAGCGGCCCGCGUCUGAUUAGCUAGUUGGUGAGGUAAAGGCUCACCAAGGCUACGAUCAGUAGCUGGUCUGAGAGGAUGACCAGCCACAUUGGGACUGAGACACGGCCCAAACUCCUACGGGAGGCAGCAGUGGGGAAUCUUGCGCAAUGGGCGAAAGCCUGACGCAGCCAUGCCGCGUGUAUGAUGAAGGUCUUAGGAUUGUAAAAUACUUUCACCGGUGAAGAUAAUGACGGUACCAUCAGAAGAAGCCCCGGCUAACUCCGUGCCAGCAGCCGCGGUAAUACGGAGGGGGCUAGCGUUAUUCGGAAUUACUGGGCGUAAAGCGCACGUAGGCGGAUCGGAAAGUCAGAGGUGAAAUCCCAGGGCUCAACCUUGGA
RNAcentral lists this ribosomal RNA (492 nucleotides) under uncultured Brevundimonas sp. Its description in RNAcentral is "bacterial SSU rRNA". It matches the Rfam family "Bacterial small subunit ribosomal RNA", at positions 92 to 619 of the family's 1533-position model. Lineage: Bacteria; Pseudomonadati; Pseudomonadota; Alphaproteobacteria; Caulobacterales; Caulobacteraceae. The record is from RNAcentral.